CACAUUCAGAAGUCAAACAGUGAGCUGGAAAUUAACUGCAGCGCAAUUUGAAUACAGCCAAAAUUCUCCGAGAAAGAUGCGAAUCUACUUGCGUGCUCCACUUCUUGACAGAUGGGAAAAUGCUGCAUAAUGUACUGAUCUGACUCAAGCCGUAAAUCAGUCCGGUUUUCACUCCCAUGUCUUUAAUGGACCAUUUAAUAAUACGGGAAAGCACAUCAAGUGUGUCAAGAAGGAAAACAGAAGGAGAGAGAAACAGCACCAGAGGAGAUGGCUUCACUGACAUGACAAGAAAGCAUAUUGAUUUCUCUUUAGGGUCACUGAACUCAGUGGGACAUUGCAGAAUAGGAGAAAGAGGGUCCCUCUCUGUUUCGCAGUGGAUUGCCAUGGUGACGAUGCACAGGCUGUGCUUGGCCUUGGUUUGUAUGGUGUGCCCUAAUUUCCAUCUGAAAGGGGGGAUGCCAGAGAAGAAAAACAACAGACCUCUACCCAUUUGACCAUCUGUGCAUUAGUGACCUCCAUGUGGUCAAGCUGACAUUGCCAGCAAGUGAAGAGAAGGGCCAGGAUGUAGGAUCCACACACCUGUUUGGGGUGCACCACUGACUGAGCCAAAUAUAGUUGCAGAAAACUGUUCUGGACAGCAGUCCCACAAGCCCAAUCAGCAGGCUGACUUAUUCAGACUGAUGCUUUCUCCCACUGAUAACGGGACCCUGGAGAGACCGGAUGGCUGGCAGGUUCUUUUACGACUGCGGGGGAGCCACGGCACACACAAACUCUCACCAUGUACAAACAAGACUCAAAAUCAUACCUGCUCAAAUUAUUCUACCUUUCUUUCUUCCACAUUUACUGUCACAUUCCAUUGUAUGUUCACCUGCUGCUGCUGCUGUUGAACAGCCAAAUGAAGUGGAUUUUUCUUUUAGUGUUGAUCCAGUGUAAGUCUGGUCGACUAACCGCAGCAGUGAACCACAACGUGAGUCCUUUGAGGUAUGAGUUCACAACUAAGCCUGCAGGGCUUUUGUGUACAGCAGUUCAACUCUUAAUUGCAAGAAAAAUUAGGCGCCGUCUUCCAUUUACCAAACAGGCAGAUGUUGCCAUGGAAACGGUAAAGCACUUCAAGGCUUCGGCGAAUGAGAGGCCUUGGGUUUGAUUGGCCUGGAGGUCUGACUGCGGGGAAAACAGACCAGAGACAACAACACCAUGCUGUAGUUUUUGAUAUUGCCCCUAUGCUGUUGUAGAGCUUUCAAUACUGUAUUAUAUAGCUUAUAAAAGAUACAGUAUAACUGACUUCAAAAAUGUCUGUGUGUAUCUAUCAGCACAUCAGCUUACCAAGAGGGAAAAAAAGAACAUAUAGAAUUCAAAAAGCUACUUUAAAAGGCCUUUAAUGUGUUUUCCCUUCAACUGUGCCUUAGGCGAUUCAGAGCCGAGCGAAAAUACCAAUGAGCUACAGGCCGAGAGUUUACUGCAGGAUUUGUGCUUAUUUCUAUUUUCAAAAUUAUACACACAGUUGGAAUGUGUCAAAAUGUCAGAACACUUCCAAAAAAUACAGACAUUUAACUAAAAAAAAAAAAAAAACUUCCCGCUGUCCUUACCUAAUAGAUAAAGUCCUAGGUCGAAAAAUGACUAGCAAAUGAGAGAGGAGUGAAUGAUGAUGUAACUUGAGUACUUUAUACAAAAAAAAAACCAACAAAAAAAAAAAAACGUGUUAUUAUCUGAGCUUAUUUUAAACUAAUGAGCUUAGUGGAUUAUUGUUCCAUUCUUCAUGUGAAAAAAAAAUGUGGUCAGAACAGUGUGAAGCUAUCUGUGUCCCUACAGCAAUAUUUGUUGUUUGUUUAAUAGAAUCAAUUAAAUUCUUUUUCUCAAGCAUUAAACAAGAACAUCCUUCCUCACAUGGAUUUGUAUGUAUGGUCCUCACAAUAAUGAAAUGGUGAGGAUGAGGAAUUACACAAGCAUUCAAAAAAACAAUUUUUUUUGUCUUUUUGUUUGUUUGUUUGUACUCGGGUAAAGGUCAGAACUCUACGGUGACCCUGUAGUGCACAACACAUAGAAAUCACCAUAACACAACACAUCAUUUCUUUGUGUUGCGGCUUCUUUCCAUUGUGUCAUGGAGAUUUUGUGUUGUGUACUACUGGGCCACCAUGCAGAAAGAAAUUAGGCUAAAUAAAUAACACCUUUACACUUACAGAGUGAUAAAAUUUUCAUUCAGGGAGUUCAAUUUUCAAGAAGCUCCAGGUGAACUGUUCUUUAGUGGUUUACUAAUACGGUGUAUUCAUUACUCCGUAGACACAGUCUGUAUGACUUCCAGUAUCAUUCACAGCCUGGGAGGCAUGUGGGUUAGCAAGGCUAAUCGUAAUGUAGAUUUCUAUUGACUUUUGUAUUGACAUUAGAGCUGUGUGAAUGCAAAUGUGUGCUGUGUGGAUUGUUUGUGGCGCAGCUCUCACAGUCACAGCUUUUCAUUUGAAAAGGUUGCAGCGUUUGGUGACAAGAAGUGACUGCUAAUAAAUUGAAUUAGAAAUUGUGUAACACAGGAUGUGGAACAUGGGCUGCCUGAAUGGCAUGUAAAAUGUCGGCUUUUGGUAAUUUAUCUUUUAAUAAUUUAAAGAAAAUUCCAUUGAAAUGCUUUAUCGGAUCAUAACAAGGACAGUGGAUCACUUCUGCCCCCUAGAGUUUGAGAUCGUUAAAGCAGCCAACUCUUAGAUACUGUUUCAUUUAGAUUGAUUUUUUUUUUUUUUUUUUUUUUUUAAUUCUUCAUUCCUCAGAAGACCA
Cyprinus carpio carpio is the source of this 2760-nucleotide long non-coding RNA. The record is from Ensembl. Lineage: Eukaryota; Metazoa; Chordata; Actinopteri; Cypriniformes; Cyprinidae.